UGUUAAGAUGAUGAUUCGUUAUUCACACUGUUUGAUCCCUCCUUCGGGUUGGAAAUGAACACUUUACACAAAAUCUGAUUUAAUGAGG
Molecule: small nucleolar RNA, 88 nt
Filed under: Magnaporthiopsis poae ATCC 64411
Lineage: Eukaryota; Fungi; Ascomycota; Sordariomycetes; Magnaporthales; Magnaporthaceae
Source: RNAcentral